GCCCUCAUUAUAUUGAUGACAACACUGGAGAAAUAGUUUAGUAAAAGCAGCUACCAAAUCUUUAGUAGCCAAAACAUUGGUAAAAUAUACAAAUGUUUUGUAAAUAUUACCAAAAUUGCGUAAAAGCGAUGUCAGACGCAAUGAACGUUCCUACCUGAGAUUCGUAGAUUUUACUUCAUACCAAGGCGACUAGACGUAUAUUCUAAGGUGGGCCAACUUGCUAAAAGCACUCUUCAGCCAUCUUGGAAGUCUACUGUGUUUUGUUUGUAAACAAAACACAAUACGCUUGUGCCCAAGCUCGCUCGUGAUCAGUCUGUCUCUCUCACGCUUCAAGGAAAUAAUUCCCCUUCUGCUUUCUUCCGUACUGUUUUCAUAUACCGCUCCCCUAACCAACUUAGUGACGAAACGGCCUCACCUAGUACCAUAGACCCGUCUUGCUUCAUACCAUUAGUAACUUUGUUUUUUUUGUCAUACCUAACAUCUGUGAUGUGCGCACUUUGCAAUCGCCAUUUCUAUUUUGGAGAUGAAGCGAUUCGGAGAGACACGAGAGAACAAAAUGCGGAUGAAACGUGCUGGUGCUACCGACACUCCCUAAAUAAUGCAAACUAGAGCGAUGCAGCAGGAAGAGGAACGGGAACUUUCCUCGUGUACGCUGCUCAUAGAAUAAGUUAUAUAUUAUUAUUAUAAUGUAUUCUAAAUAUGUGGAGUUAAAUGUAAUCAAAUAGAAUUUUUUAAAUUAAAAAUAA
Long non-coding RNA from Toxorhynchites rutilus septentrionalis, 746 nucleotides. RefSeq lists it as uncharacterized. NCBI's taxonomy places the organism in Eukaryota, Metazoa, Arthropoda, Insecta, Diptera, Culicidae. The record is from RefSeq and is a predicted model, not a curated record. The transcript has 2 exons.